RNAcentral lists this ribosomal RNA (253 nucleotides) under uncultured bacterium. RNAcentral describes it as "partial 16S ribosomal RNA". It matches the Rfam family "Bacterial small subunit ribosomal RNA", at positions 524 to 776 of the family's 1533-position model. The record is from RNAcentral.
UACGUAGGGCGCAAGCGUUAUCCGGAAUUAUUGGGCGUAAAGAGCUCGUAGGCGGUUUGUCGCGUCGGCCGUGAAAUCUCCACGCUUAACGUGGAGCGUGCGGUCGAUACGGGCAGACUUGAGUUCGGUAGGGGAGACUGGAAUUCCUGGUGUAGCGGUGAAAUGCGCAGAUAUUGGGAGGAACACCAGUGGCGAAGGCGGCUCACUGGACCGGUACUGACGCUGAGGCGCGAAAGCGUGGGGAGCAACGGGG